AUGGCUGAUGAUCAGGGCUGGCUGAGUGGCUGGCUCCCCACUUGGUGCCCCACUUCCAUGUCUUAGCUGAAGAAUGUGGAAGCCAGGAUCGUCCACUGUCUCCAGAACAAGUUACUGGCCUAUUAUGUAUCCCUCCCAAACCAUAACAAGAUCUGGAUGGUGACUAUAAGCCCAGGGCAAAAAAAGGACUGCACCCCUCUGUUGAUGGUACAGGGCUUUGGGGGCAGUGUGGGCCUCUGGAUCUUCAUCACGGAUUCACUGAGUACCUGCCGCACAGUCCAUACCUUUGAUCUGCUUGGUUUUGGGUGAAGCUCAAGUCCAACAUUCCCAAGGGACCCAGAAGGAGCUGAAGAUGAGUUUGUGACCUCAAUAGAAAUAUGGUGAGAGAGCAUGGGAAUCGCCACCAUGAUCCUCCUGGGGCACAGGCUGGGAGGAUUCCUGACCACUUCUUACUCUCUCAAGUACCCUGAAAGAGUUAAACAUCCUGGUGGAUCCAUGGGGUUCCCUUGUAACCAACCAACCCCAGUGAGAUCCGUGCACUUCCAACCUGGGCCAAGGCUGUGGCAUCUGUCCUGGGACGUUCUAAUCCACUGGCUGUUCUUCCAGUGGCUGGGCCUUGGGGCCUGCUGGUGUUGAGGUUCCAUCAUGACUUCAAGCACAAGUUUGCAGACUUCUUUGAGGAUGAUACCAUCUCAGAAUACAUCUACCACUGCAAUGCACAGAAUCCCAAUGGGGAAACAGCGUUCAAAGCCAUGAUGGAGUCCUUCGGCUGGGCCCUGCGUCCCAUGUUGGGGCAAAUCCACUUAAUUCAAAAGGAUGUGCCCAUCAGCAUGGUCUAUGGGGCCAACACCUGGAUAGAACCAGCACAGGGAAAAACGUGAAGAUGCAAAGACCAGACUCUACGUCCGAGACAUGGAGACUGAGGUGCAUUGCACCACAUCUACACUGACCAGCCACACAUCUUCAGUGCUGUGCUGGAAGAGAUCCAUAAAUCGGUUGACUGA
This is a non-coding RNA of Arvicanthis niloticus (Nile rat), 1004 nucleotides long. The record is from RefSeq and is a predicted model, not a curated record. NCBI's taxonomy places the organism in Eukaryota, Metazoa, Chordata, Mammalia, Rodentia, Muridae.